ACACAUAGUAAAUUAAGGAAUUAAGGAUUCGUACUUAAUAAUGAACUAAGUCAAAAAAUUGGUCCACAUCAGACAAGGAAAAAUUCGAAUAGGUUCACAUAAUGGUGGUCUGAAAUCAAUCCCCAAAAAUUAGGGUUAAUUUUGAGAGGAAAAUGUCUGACUAUUAAGGAUGAAUAUGCAGAGGCUAAAAUUAAACACAGAGUGGUCAUACAAUCAAAAUAGAAGAACAUAGCUAUGCGGGAAAUCAGAGGGUCUUGCAAAGCUUAGCAAGAAUUAGAGAACAUGAGACGAAUUUAGAGAUUAGGGGUUUUGAAAUCUGACAGGAAACAACACUAGAAUCAAAACAAUCAUACACACAUGGUUUAGAACCCCCGAUAUUUAGGGUUUUCCCCCACAGCUUACAUGCAAAGGCGAAGCAUAGAAAAUCAGGCAAAAUAAACUUAGAAAAACCCAAAGAACACAGAUAUUUCAUGGAAGCAAACACGGUAAAAGAAAUCACUAUAAACCUUAGGAGGAAAACACAGUAAAGAAAAUACACAGAAACCACGGUGAAAACAUUUAGGAGUUAUAGUAGGCAAAUAAUGUACGAAAUCACAGUAGAAUAAAUAAAAAUCAAGGAAACCCUAGGUUCGAGAAGACGAACCUUUUUGAAAGAAAAAAAAUCAAAAAAAG
RNAcentral lists this long non-coding RNA (672 nucleotides) under Nicotiana benthamiana. RNAcentral describes it as "long non-coding RNA (NBEN_LNC012646)". Lineage: Eukaryota; Viridiplantae; Streptophyta; Magnoliopsida; Solanales; Solanaceae. The record is from RNAcentral.